GUGAACGCUGGCGGCAGGCCUCACACAUGCAAGUCGAGCGGCAGCGGGUCCUUCGGGAUGCCGGCGAGCGGCGGACGGGUGAGGAAUACAUCGGAAUCUGCCCUGUCGUGGGGGAUAACCUAGGGAAACUUAGGCUAAUACCGCAUACGACCUACGGGUGAAAGCGGGGGAUCGCAAGACCUCGCGCGACAGGAUGAGCCGAUGUCCGAUUAGCUAGUUGGCGGGGUAAAGGCCCACCAAGGCGACGAUCGGUAGCUGGUCUGAGAGGAUGAUCAGCCACACUGGGACUGAGACACGGCCCAGACUCCUACGGGAGGCAGCAGUGGGGAAUAUUGGACAAUGGGCGCAAGCCUGAUCCAGCCAUGCCGCGUGGGUGAAGAAGGCCUUCGGGUUGUAAAGCCCUUUUGUCCGGGAAGAAAUCGUCUGGGCUAAUACCCCGGGCGGAUGACGGUACCGGAAGAAUAAGCACCGGCUAACUUCGUG
Molecule: ribosomal RNA, 483 nt
Filed under: uncultured bacterium
Lineage: Bacteria
Description: partial 16S ribosomal RNA
Rfam family: Bacterial small subunit ribosomal RNA
Source: RNAcentral